UAUCAUCUUUGAUGGUUCUUUCAACCGAAAAUGAGAAAAGAAAAAGGUUCAUGGAAGCCAUUAGGGUUCGGCAACUUCAAGCUUUAAUUAGCUUUGUGCUGGUAUUAUAUCCGGGUUUUAUCCCGCAGGCUUCGUGCUGGUAUUAUAUCCGGGUUAAAUCCCGCAGGCUUAGUGCUGGUAUUAUGUUCGAGCUUAAAGUUCCGCAGGUUCUGUGCUGGUGACCGGAUUCGGGUUUUAAACCUAGCAGGCUUAACGCCGGUGAUUCAAGUAAGAUUAUGAAUUUGAAAGUUCGAGGUAAACUACUAUUGAAUAUGUAUGAUACAUUAUGAUAGUCAGGUACGUAUUAUGUACUCGCAUGUGAAUUGAUUUUUAAGGUGAAUUAUUAGUAUCAAAGAACGAUAUAUAUGUGUGAAUGAUUACUAUAUCUACGAAUAAGAGCAUGACCUAUUCGGUCGAUGUCUGUCAUUGUAUGAAAGUAUGUGACCUAAAUUAAUUGUACGAGCUUCCAGAGAUAUCCGAGUAUCCUCUUUGUUUC
Long non-coding RNA from Gossypium arboreum, 535 nucleotides. RefSeq lists it as uncharacterized. The record is from RefSeq and is a predicted model, not a curated record. NCBI's taxonomy places the organism in Eukaryota, Viridiplantae, Streptophyta, Magnoliopsida, Malvales, Malvaceae. The transcript has 2 exons.